CCUACGGGAGGCAGCAGUGGGGAAUAUUGCACAAUGGGGGAAACCCUGAUGCAGCAACGCCGUGUGAGUGAUGACGGUCUUCGGAUUGUAAAGCUCUGUCUUCAGGGACGAUAAUGACGGUACCUGAGGAGGAAGCCACGGCUAGCUACGUGCCAGCAGCCGCGGUAAU
Molecule: ribosomal RNA, 169 nt
Filed under: uncultured bacterium
Lineage: Bacteria
Description: partial 16S ribosomal RNA
Rfam family: Bacterial small subunit ribosomal RNA
Source: RNAcentral